RNAcentral lists this non-coding RNA (80 nucleotides) under Gloeothece verrucosa PCC 7822. RNAcentral's name for it is "Cyanothece sp. PCC 7822 Photosynthesis regulatory RNA1". It matches the Rfam family "Photosynthesis regulatory RNA1". From Rfam's summary of the family: Formerly known as Syr1 discovered in Synechocystis sp PCC 6803, is a regulatory factor controlling photosynthetic functions. The record is from Rfam by way of RNAcentral. Lineage: Bacteria; Bacillati; Cyanobacteriota; Cyanophyceae; Chroococcales; Aphanothecaceae.
AACAGUCUUUCUCAGUGUAUCUCCCAUUGACAUUGAGUUCUCCUACAACAGCAGUAACCUCGGUAAAUGCCGAGGUUUUU